ACAAAGCAAUAAAACAAUCUUUUAAAGAUAAAGAGCUACACCAUAUAAAAUGUGUCAAUGACAUGAAAUGAAAGGCUCAGCGCUUCAUUUUGACUAUACCCAGAUUACUGCAAUUCAAACCAAAGAUGCUGUAUUACAGUUGAGAAUUAACCAUCAAAGUACGAGAUUUUAAGUUACAGUUGAAACAAAGUGGCAUUGGCCAAGGCGAAGUCAAAAAUGACCUCCAGUUUAGAGUUUUGCAAAUUUCAGUUAGUCUCUUAGAAAUUGACCAGUUUUGGCCAACUAUUUGACAAGUCUAAGGAGAACAAAAACUCAACCAGUCUGACUGUAACUGAAACCAGGACCAGAACCCAAAUAAAGUUUCAAACCUUGAACCACACAGAAUGCUUAGGCGUUUACUGUAGUUAUUUGAUGAUGCAGAAAGCCUGGCGGUCAAACUUGUACAUACACGUCUUUGUAUUCUGGUGGCACAUGAUGCACUCAAAAGGUUUGCACACCACAAUCUAUCUACAUCUUACAUGUUUAAAACGGUAAAUUGUUCACGUUACAUUGAGUUCCAACAAAAAUAAUUUGCCACAAUACCUGACUGUCAAAGUGAGUGCUUCUCAUUCCAAAGGGGAAGAUACAAAUAUAUGUAGGUUCCUACAAAAAAUUACUUCUCCUGCUUCUAAAAUUCCCCUGCUUUGAGAAACAGUAUUUGUCCCAAACAAGGAAAAUAUUAUUAGUGGAUUUAAAGAUUAAACAAGUGUAACAUGGCUUAGAGGCAGAACAUUCCAGUUAUAGUAAGAAUCCAGCGGGUAGUACU
This 805-nucleotide long non-coding RNA is filed under the name Elaeis guineensis (African oil palm). RNAcentral describes it as "long non-coding RNA (EGUI_LNC029017)". The record is from RNAcentral. Lineage: Eukaryota; Viridiplantae; Streptophyta; Magnoliopsida; Arecales; Arecaceae.